This is a long non-coding RNA of Cyprinus carpio carpio, 2116 nucleotides long. NCBI's taxonomy places the organism in Eukaryota, Metazoa, Chordata, Actinopteri, Cypriniformes, Cyprinidae. The record is from Ensembl.
GUGUCGGCCAUUUUGAAUUAUGUUUUAAAAUGCUGUAUUUUUUGAACGCAUUAUCGUAUCGUUACGAAAAUAAUUACAAAAAUGUUUGGCUCCAUGUCCUGAAGCUACUCAAAAAGUUUGGUGGCAGCGCCACCUUGUGGUCAAAAGUUAUAAUGAAAUAUCGGAUAUAUGCUAAUAACUUUUGAAAAUAUUAGACUAUUGCAAUAAAAGUCAUGUUUCUAUAUUCUUUGGGUCAUGCCGAGAACAUCGAUACCAAUUAUUCCAAAAUUGGCCAUACUUCCUGUCCGCCAUUUUGAUUAAAGUUGAAAACCUACUUUUUGGAACUCCUCCUAGACCGUUAGUCCGAUUUUCACCAAAUUUGGUUCGGAUCAUCUUCAGUCCAAGCUGACAAAAAGUUAUGGAUUUCGUGUUGAUAUACGAAACGGUUUUCGUUUAGCGCAUCAACAAAUUUGGUCGUAAGAUGCCAAAAUACAUCUGAGGCUGUAUCUCUGCAAAGCUUUGACAUUUUUGCACCAAACUUUGUAGGUGCCAUUGUCACCUCACACUGACCAUGCAACAUCAAUUUGGUAACAGCGCCACCUAUUGGUCAAGAGUAAUAAACCAUUCAUUAACCAUUAAUAAUUACAUUUAUAAAAAUGCUAAUAACUUUUUAUUGCAUUAGCCUAUUGCAAUAAAACUGGUCUCAAAAUAUUCCUUGGCUUAUGCCGACAACAUAGAUACCAAAUAUGUCAGAGUACGCUGAACUUCCUGUCCGCCAUUUUGAUUUAUGUUGAAAACCUACUUUUUCGAACUCCUCAUCAACCGUUGGUCCGAUUUUCACCAAAAUUGAAUCAGAUGAUCUUCAGACUGUGCUGACAAAAUGUUAUGGAUUUUGUAUCGAUAGACAAAAUCGUUUUCGCAUACCACAGCGACGAAUUUCAGGCAUGAUGCCAAAAUGACACUUCAGCCUGUAUCUCUGCAAUGCUUUGGCAUACUGACACCAACCUUUGUGUGUGCCAUUGUCACCUCACACAGAACACACCAAAAUGAUUUAAUUACAGCGCCACCUGUUGGUCAAAAGUUAUAAGUCAUUUAAUCAUAAUACUAGUGCUUGUAUUUAUGAUUUUUCCGCAAUUUCAAUUACAAUCAUCCUAAAAUUGCUGUAAUUGCUCAUUGUUACAUUUGGUGUGAUGCUCCAUGCCAUGCUUAGCUCCUCAAUUUGCCUCUGGAGUGCUUGGCCCCGUAAUUGCUGCUUGCAGCUAUAUUUCUUCUUCUUCUUCUUCUUCUUCUUCUUCUUCUUCUUCUUCUUCUUCUUCUUCUUCUUCUUCCGCCGCAAGUCUAUGGCAGCCCAUAGAACCGAUUGCGGGAAAGUUGUAUAAUUUGGCACACUGAUAGAGGACAGUCCCAGCAUUAACUAUAGCAAAUUUGAAGUCUCUAACUCCAACUCUCUAGCGCCACCACUUGUCCAAAAUUUCAAUAUUUUUAUGCUAAUAACUUUUGAACCGUAAGCCACAAAAUGAAAAUUCUUUUUUCCUCUGAAUCCUUGGCUCAGGCCAAGUCGAAUGAACCCCGAAAUUCAAAAAUCGCAAGGUUUAGUUUUUUCGCUAUUUUCAAUUGUUCGAAAAACCUACUUUUUCAAACUCGUCCUAGACGGUUAGUCCGAUUUUCACGAAAAUUGGCUCAGAUCAUCUUCAGAUGAUGCCGGCAAAAAGUUAUGGAAUUCAAGUUGAUUCGUCCAACCGUUCUCGAAUACCACGCGAAAAAAUUCUACGAAAAGCACGCAAAAAUGCUUGUGAGGCUAUAACUCUGCAACGGUUGGGCGUAUUGAGACAAAACUUGGUGUGUGUUAUAACAAGCAUGACCUGAGACUACCUGCAGUGUUUCGACGCAGCGCCACCUAGUGGUCAGGAGAUAUGAAAAAUGCAUAUUUUUGCUUAUAACUUCUGAAUGGUUUGGCCAAAAAUAACAAAACUGGUCUCUUUAGAUUGGGUGGGUCAUGCCGAGUCGAAUGAUAUCCAAUUUUUACGUGUCGGCCAUUUUAGGUGUCGGCCAUUUUGAAUUAUGUUUCAAAAUGCUGUAUUUUUUUGAACGAAUUAUCGUAUCGCUACGAAAAUAAUUACAAAAAUGUUUGGCUCCA